Molecule: transfer RNA, 64 nt
Filed under: Busonia albilateralis
Lineage: Eukaryota; Metazoa; Arthropoda; Insecta; Hemiptera; Cicadellidae
Description: tRNA-Ala
Source: RNAcentral
UAGGGUUGUAUUUAAAUAUAAUAUGGAAUUUGCAUUUCCAAGGUGCAAUUAUGCCAAUCUUAAC